CUUAUGCGAUAAUAGAAGUCAUUUCUAAUUCCACACAGUUUCGUAUUUUCGUGAAUUAGAUUGCAGCUGAAUAUAUCUAAAUAGAAAUUCAGGACAUAUGACUAUCAUCUAAAUCGGAUUACUAAGAUUCAACAACAGCAUAUAAUUAAUUAGUGUAAGAUUUGACAGUUGGAAUAUUGAUGUAAAUACAGAAAGCAAAAGGUAGGUUUUGUUUAUAUUCUUUUAAAUAUUAUAUAUGUGUAUUUGCAUAAAAACAAACUUCAUUUGAUUUAGAAAGCUAAUUUUGAUUAAUUUGAAUUCUAUCCUUUGCUCUUGUUUACAUAUUACUUGCUAGUAUUUCGCACGUUAGUUUCCAAAUUUGGUUUUCUGUUAUAGAUAUUAGUUGAUGUACUGACUUAUUUUAAAACUUAUUUAAUGUUUACACAUUUCUUUGAAAACAGUCCGAUGUUAAACAAAGUGGACGUAAAUAUAGGAGAGAGCAAAAUGACCUUUAAAUCAUUUUAGAAAUCUUUUCAACAAAUUACUUUAAAAUUAAAGUUCAAGAUUUUCUCAAUAAUAAAUGUAUUUACGUUUGUAAAUAUCAAAUGAUUUUAAAACCAAUUGCAAAGAACAUAUCAAUCAUAAAGAUAACAUAACAUUGUUCAUCAUCAAGUCGAUAUAAUUAGCCUUUACACAAACUCUUUAACGGUCAGUUAAGAGUAAAUCGUUUUUAGUACCACAAGAAAAUAUUAACUAACAAAGAUAGACAAAUGCGAAAAAAAUGUGUAUAUGAAGAAAAUGUCCGUAUCACAUUUUAUAAUACUACGAUGAAAAUGAGCAAACAAUAUGAACGACAAUGCAAUCUUUAUUUAUCUUUAUUUUCGUAUCUUAUUUUAAUACAUAUUCAUUUCAAUAUAUUUUUGUCGUUUUCAUAUUUUUUUAAUGAUGUCUCCUUAUCUUCUUUUUUCCACUCUCAAUUACGUUUCUUGUAAUAAAGGACAAUAUAUCUAAGGGAUGUGUACCUUAAGUAUUCAAGAAUUGAAUGAUUCUUUUUGUUAAUUAAUUGUGGUGUAAAAGCGUUGAAUGAAGUACAUAUUGUAUGAAGAGCGAAAGCACUUCUUUCUAAAAAUGUGAGCACGGUCAACGCUUUUACAACCCUAUAAAGUUGAAAAAAGAAGCAUCCAAUACUUAUAAUUCACUUCUUUAGCUAGGAUCAUGAAAACACUUUUUAAAGUAUUUUUUAAUUUCCCUGUGCACUUUAUUGUGUGACUUCGUGUCACCAUGAAUGUUUCAUUUCAUUGUGUAAUGAAUGUCAAUUCCAGAAUGACGAGAUAUUGCUGAUAGCCAAUCAAAAUAACGUAUUAUAAUGACACAUACAUACAAUGCAAUAAUUACAGAAUAAGACUCCUCUAUAAACAACUGUUUAUGUAAAAAUAUUCGAAAAAGCUCUAGAUCUCGUCGCAAAAUAGCUUUUUCGCACAUGCGGCGUAAAUCAAACACCAAUCAAUCAACACUUGUUUUACCACUUAUGUGCAGUGAACCAUAAUGUAGUACUUUGUGCUUUUAGACUUAUAGUGCGUUUGGAUAUAAAUAUUUGGAUGUUUACAUACUUGAUUAUAAAAAUAAGAUAAAAAAAUCUGAUGAAAGAAACCAGGAUUUCGUCUACUUAAGACCCAUCAGUAACAAUCGAAUUCAAAAGUGAAAAGGCGAGAAAAGGUAUGAAUUUAUUAGAGCAUCGUGAUAGUAUUUCAGAUGAAUGUUGGUACGUGUGUAUAUUCUUUUAUUGCAAUUUGGAUCUUGUUUUAACUUUAUUCUAUUUCCGAGAACAAAAUAAUAUGUUUCAUAAGUUAAUUUCAACUGUUAGUGGAAAAUAUUAGCAAGCAAAAUCAAGGGAAUUGUGCAAAUGAUGAUACAAGCAUAAAAAUUAGCACAAAGCAUUAUUAUUAUAUACUUUUUAAGAAAAAACAGCUGGCCAAAAGAAAUUUUUAUUUUUUCAAAAUAGCCACCACCUUUUCGAAAAUGGCUAAUUUUUUCAAGAUUGAAAUAUUUAUAUUUCUGGAAAACGUUUUCUUUGACCCUCUGUGAGUAAAAAAAUAUUACCAGGUUUGGUGAAUACCUUCUUAACAUGUGACGUUUAUACUAGAAAUAAAUAUUUGACAUGUUCUUGGUUUUAGCAUGCGUGAAAAUGUUACAAAAUUCCCACUCAAACAUUUGAAUUAUUUAUUAUAUGCUUAGCGCUUUUGAAAUUUUAAUGAUGUUAUGAAUUUGUUCGAUGAUUAAGAUUUAAGGUUAUGAUACACAUGCGUUUAACAAUUUCGCGCAUGCGCAAACUAUUUAUUAAUAAAGAACGAGUACCACGCACUGCAAGGGCACAAUGAUGGAAAUCGUAGUUCAUGUAACAGAUGAGGAUUUGAAUUUCUUCAACAUAUCUUGAUCUCAUUAAUUCCUCUUAGCAUCUAGGUUAUGUUCGAGUAUAAAGUGUUGCUUUUGAUGCCACUGUUUGAAAACACGCCCUUUCAGUUGCAAUGAUCAAGCAUUCGAUGGAUAAGAUGAAAAAGGUGGUUAACUUUCUGAAUAUCGGGCAAACAGUUGGAAUGGCCAGACUUGUACGAAGAACAUACGUGUAUCGUCAUGUUUGGUGGAUUGUACAAUAAAAUGGCGUAUUAAAUUAUAAUCCUAAUGCCUUUGGUGACUAUUUUACACCACUGGGUCGAUGCCACUGCUGGUGGACGUUUCGUCCCCGAGGGUAUCACCAUCUCAGUAGUCAGCACUUCAGUGUUGACAUGAACAUCAAUUAUAUGAUCAUUUAAAUAAACUUCCUGUCUACAAAACGUUGAUUUUUUCCAAAAAUUUAGGAUGUUCUUAUCCCAGGAGUCGAUUACCUUAGCCGUAUUUGGCACAACUUUUUGGAAUCUUGGUUCCUCAAUGCUCUUUAACUUUUUACUUGUUAUAGCUGUUUUGAUAUAGGCGUCACUGAUUAGUCUUAUGUAGACGAAACACACGUCUGGCGUAUUAAAUUAUAAUCCUGGUGCCUUUGGUGACUAUUGUAAAAUUCUGAGUGUUAUAUUGCGUGAUAGUGGAUGGAUAUGUGUUCCACUGAAGCCGAUAUUUCAACACCUAGAAUAGCAGAUGCUUUUAAUGUAUGUUCAAAUGUAAUUAGGAAUAGCCACGCGCAUCAGAUAACUGCAUACAGUCGAACCUCGUUGUGUCGAAGUCGAAGGGACCAGACAAAAGUAUUCGAUUCAUCCGAGGUCGAGUGUGACGUCAUAUAUUUGAAAUGUAUGAAAUACCAAUAUGUGAUUUCUGUAAACUAAAUGCAUGUUUAUUGAUAUUUUUAGAUAUGAUAAUACAUGUAUAUGAUUGUGUAUUUAUGUUCUGUAUUUUUAAAGAUUCAACACACAACAUUCACAAAUAAAAUCAAUACACAAUUAUUUACAAAGGGCACUAUAAAUUAUGGAAUCACUUGCGAAAAUAUUUUCAUAACUAAUCUUAAAAGAAUGUGAACAGUGUCCAUAGACUAAAAAGACCGACUCAUAAUAAUUAAUAAAAUAUUUUAAUCCUUUUAAUUAUUGUUCUUAUUCUAAUGGUUAAUUUAAUCUCAGCUUGGGUCAUUAAAAUUUGUUUCGUUUUUAUACCAAGUGAAAUAUGGUUCAGCACAUUCAAGUUCCGCUUGGACGAUCAACAAAGAUGUUGAUAAGCGGGCAUCAUAAACAUGUCAUUUUAACUGUUUUAAUCACUUAUGGAAAUGAAUAGGUUAAACAAGAAAAAACAUUUUUUUUUUUUCAUUUUGAACUUCAAGACAUCAGGGUCAAUUUACAUCAAUUUUACAACGACGGGACUUAACAAUUACCUUGACUUAACUGGGAAUUCCAAUCAUCCCAGUUCGAUUCAUUAGAGGUUAAAAUGCAUUAAUCAAACGAGAAUUAUGCCGGGACCGAGAAAUUACUUCGACUCAUCCGAGUUUUCGACACAACCGAGUUUGACACAACGAGGUUCUACUGUAUGUGGUUUGCUUGUCAGUUGUUAUGAAAGCAUUAACACAGAACAUAUAGUUCAUGACUCUGUGUGACGUUCAAGUAUGACUGUGAACAACGGGUGUAAGGAAAAAUGGUCAUAUCGACCAAAGUUUAAUUUCUGGCGUUCAAUUAUGAAUAAAGAACUUCAUGUUCCUACGGUAGUAUGCUCACUUCACGAGUCAGAUAUCGUAAUUUACAAACAGUCCAUAUCAAGCAUGAUACCAAUGUUGGUCUUGAUCGUGUAAAUCAUGUUCUAUGGUCACCCAUCCAUCUCCAUGAUAUGGCUUCCCUUCAACAACAUCACCAAAACGUGGCAAUGAAAUUUGCAAAUGCAAGUUGAUUUCUUAUAUUACAAUUGAUCAAACACAAACACAGAAUAAUAAGUCGUGAACGGCGAUGUUGUUACCAUACGUUUAUCGAAGAUCCCUUCGAGACGAUAGAUGGUAGCUGGACCAAGAAGUCAGUAGACUGGUAGAUGAAUUUGAAAGAUCUCGUGGUUUGAGUCAUUCCACAACAUAAACGACGUCAUGAAGACUCUACGAAAACACAAAAAGAUUUCUUCGAAAAACUUUAAAGGCUUUCUAAAGUGAUGAACAAGUUUGAUAAGCCAUUUCUAGAAGAGUCAUCAGAUUUGUACAAAAUUUACUCUUUUAAGGACGUUUUUGAUUCAGAAGUAGGUAAGAUAUGUAUAUAAACUCCAAGAUAUUGGGUCCAAACAGCAUGAUCUUUUGAAGCAAACCAAAACGAAAGGGAAUCUGCUUUUUUAACCGGAUGAAAAAGAACAUUUCCAUAUAAGAGCCGUAAAAUGAAACUGGAAACUUCUUUGUCAAAAAACAAAGCUACAGUACAAGAACACUGAUUGCGUUCUCUUUUCUAGAUUUUUUAUUUCUUCUUUAGCCAUUAAAACCAAACUGCUCCUCCGUCUAUGUGUCAGGAUGUGGUAUUAAAUCGCAGCAAAGGUAUACUUGAAAAAUUCUGCGAUUUGCCAUCAACUGAUCCAAAUUCUGACGCAUUUAUUGUUGGUGGGGCAGCAAUGGUUAAUUUAUUGCCACCACUUGUGCCAAACAUAUUUGACGACUAUGUAAAUGAUACCAUACUGCCUUACAUAAAUCUUUCGAUAAUAAGUAUCCAAGAGUAGACAUCGAUUUGUUGUUUACUAAAUAAAUUAUUUAAAAGCUGGGACGAAAAAUUAUAGGCAAAGAACUGGUUUUAGACGGAAAGAUGUUGGUUCUGGUAGAACGCCAAGGGUUUGGAAUAGUUUUCUCUGAAGUUGGCAACAAAACGGAAUGUGUCUAAGUUUCUUGCCGACAGAAUUGCUUCUUAAGAAACUAAUGAAAAUGCUUAUGCUACUGAAGUUGAAAAUGUACUUUGCAAUUUCAAUAUGAUACGUCCAAGAUAUCCCGUUGUAACCAUGAAUAAGGAGAUACACGAAAGAUUGUCCAUGAUAAGCAUGCUGCUGAAAAUGGUAGUAUAAAGUAAUUUUAAGUAGUACUGACAUAGAUGUAGUAGUAUUAGGAAUUGCAGUGCUCGCAAGAUUGUGGACAAAUUGUGGAUAGGUUUUUAGAGGAAUAAAUACUUUCUGUACAUGUCAUAUUAAAUGUGUUUGGUCCUCGUGUAGCAGCUUUUCCUUUCUUCAAUGCAUUUAGUGGGUGUGACAUUAAGUCGGCAUUUCAUCGGAAAGUGAAAAAGUCAGCUUGGCAGACAUUAGAAGUAUUCUCAAAUGUAACGGGCAUUUUUUUCCGAUUUUGUAUGAAGACACAGACAUGGACAUCAUAAAAGUAUUUUUUGCAUCAUGUACGGAAACAUCACCAUUUGCUGUUAAGGAAACACAAUUAAAAUCGUUUGCAAGGAAGGAGCGGCCUUAUUAUGCUAUUCCGCCUACCACAAAAUCAAUAUGAUCACCUGUGGUAGGCGGAAUAGCAUCAGAAGGCCGCUGCUUCCUUGCAAACGAUUUUUAUCUUCUGGACCACAUCAAAGGAGAAUCAUGUAUCAAGGUGGACAUGUUUGGGCUAGUCUGGAUUUAUGCAUUCGACAGGUUCAUGUACCAAGUCAUGACCACAGGAGUUGGGUUAAAGAAAAAAAAAAGAAUGAUUAUUGGAAACCAAAAUGGACUUCCUUGUUGGCCGCUGAUCCUCGUGUCAAGAUUUUUUUAAAUGCGGAUACCAGAAAUUCAGCUGUGUUGGUAACUGUAAAUAAUACCGUUCAGGCCUUCCGUGUACAUGUUUGUGUAUUGGUAACUGUCAGAUAAUUAUAAGAUAAGCAACCUGUCUUUCUAAACAAACUAAAUAUGCAUUUGAACUUUAAAAAAGUCAGGAAUAUCUCUUGUUACGAUGAUAGAAAUGAUAAAAUUGACAUUUUCCACAUUAAGCCCCCAUUUUGAGACCGGAAGUCACGCUUUUUCUUCAUGUAGGUAUUUUUUCUUCGUACUUUAGAAAUUGUACUUUAAGUUUUAUCAAAACUGACAUUGUAUUAUACCUAUUCUUCUAGGUUUCAAAUGAUUUACGAAAUGUAACCAAUUGCAUAUGACGCCAUUUGCAAAAUGAGCGGUGGCCAUCUUGAGAAAAAAAUGAGAUAUUUUUUAUGGCCAGCAGCUGAUUUUUUUAUAAUUAUCAUUUUGUCUACCCAUAUACCAAAUUUCAUGCUUGUAUCACGAUUUGCACAAUUAUGUCCAUAAUAUCUCCCACUAUGUAACGAAUUUGUCAAGUAUUGUUUGUUCAAAAUCUUCAUAAUAGCAUUUUAUAGCUGACUAUGCAGUAUGGGCUUGGCUAAUUGUUGAAGGCCGUACUGUGACCUAUAGUUGUUAAUGUAUAUCAGUUUGGUCCAGGGUUUCCCCUAAGUCAAUUAUUUUUUUCGCCACCUCUUUCGCAAAAACAAUAUAUUUUUCGCCACUUUAUUAUUUUUUUCGCCAAGUAACAUCACUAUAUUUUUCGUUUAAAAUUAACCUUUUUUUCUUACCCCCUCCCCUUUUCCCUUAAAUAAGGUGAUUUUGCCCCAUUGUGUCUAUGAUUAUUCUGUCAAACUUAUUUUAGAGUCUACAUUUAAUGAAUAAACACUAAACAUUUACUUUAAAACAACAGAUUUUGUUUUUAACAUAAAAGGGAAAAAUAUUCAUUGUAUUUUAAACAUCUUUUCUAAAUGAGGGGGCCACUAUACUUUUAAUAAUAAAGAAGAUAUAAGUCCUGGAAUACAACAAAAUUAAUGGACAUGUUUUGAUUAUAUAAUACCAGUAUAGUUCGUAGGGAAAGUUUCUUUAAAAGAAAAAUAUUGAUGUGCCCUUUUGUACUAAGAAGUGGUUUUUACAACAAAACAAAAGCUUUUAUCACAUGAUAUUUUGAUCCCUCAUUUCAUGUGUAGUCAUAAGAUUGAAGGGCUACUCUCAUUAGAGGGUUUGUUCCUAACCUUUUAGAUAGAUUUCUUCAUAACGACAGUUUUCUUUUCUUGACCAUCGUAAAUGAAAAAGUUGAGACGUAAAACUAUGCUUGAAACACACGUGUCACUCAAACGACUUAAAGUAGUCUCCCUAAUCAAUUACCUAUAUUAAAGUCAAAGGAUAAUUAAAGUUUUAAAUCAGAGAUUUUUCUUGCUUUUGAAAAUUUUUCGUCACAACAUCAGCUUUCUUUUCUAAACUAUCUUUAAAAGGAGAGGAGACGUCAAAAGUUUGCUUCAAACACGUGCGUCGCAAAGUGGUAAAUACAUUCUGUAUGUGACAUUUAGCGGAAGCCAUUUAACCAUUCAGUCAACACCUUUAUUAAUUAGUCCUUUGUUGUCGAUAGCUAUAAAAUGCAAUCAGCUGAUUAAUGAUUUUCUGUCCAAAUCUUAAUGAGGUCAAGGUGAAUUCCGAGUAUUGUCUGAUGAGGUAAAGUCCGAGAAACUCGAAAAAAGUAAAUAAACAAGAUGGAGGAAAAUAAAUGGUUCUAUAUAUUUCUUUCGCCAAAUUCUUUCGCAAAUGACGAAUUUUUAUCGCCACAAUUAUUAUUUUUUCGCAAAUUGCGAAAAUGGCGACCGCCAGCGGAAACCCUGGUUUGGUCUCUUGUGGGCAGUUGUCUCAUCGGCAAUCAUACCACAUCUUCUUUUUUAUAUAACUAAUUAAAAUUGGAAUUUAUUGUCGAUAAGUAUUAUUAUAACCUUGAUUUUCGCUCCCUAAGACACAUUAUAACACUUUUCUUCCAUUAGAUUAAGUCUGAUAGCAUUGAGAGCAGCAUAUACAAAUGCACGUAUUAUAAAACUUUGGUUAAAUAAUGCAACUUGUAAAUUUAAAAUAUUUAAUGGGAUAUGACAUUGUGCUUGUGCUGUGAUGAAAUGAAAUAUUCUAAUAUGACGUGCUUCUUUCGCUUUGUAAACAACACUGUGAUAAAAUUUUCGAGAUAUCUAUACUUAGCGCAGACUCAGAGAUAUACAUAAUAAUCGCUGUUACAAUUUACUUCCCACGUAAAUCUACAUGUAUUGGAACUUAUUUGCAGACCAUUUGGCGAUUUUAUUGAUUUAAAAAGUGCAAUUAUAAAAAGACAUAAUAUGUUAUUCUUAUUCGGAUGCAUAAUAAAAAGAAGUAAUGCACAAGAGCUCAUAAAAAUAAAAUUCCGCGAAAGUCUAUUAUUUGCGCAUUUUAGUCAUUUCAAAACAUGACGUCAUACAAAUGAAACUGCUAAAGUUGAAAGUUUUCUGUAACGUGAACCAUCCAAAUUCGUAUGAUAUUGUAUUAAAACUGAUUUUUGAGGUAGGUUUUGUUUUCUAUUCCAUUCUAUUGCAUUAUUUGCAUAUUUACUAAUUUCAGCAAAUCAACAUGGCGGC
Molecule: long non-coding RNA, 8783 nt
Filed under: Mytilus galloprovincialis (Mediterranean mussel)
Lineage: Eukaryota; Metazoa; Mollusca; Bivalvia; Mytilida; Mytilidae
Source: RNAcentral